GUGCCAGCAGCCGCGGUAAUACGGAGGAUCCAAGCGUUAUCCGGAAUCAUUGGGUUUAAAGGGUCCGUAGGCGGGUCCAUAAGUCAGUGGUGAAAGUCUGCAGCUCAACUGUAGAAUUGCCAUUGAUACUGUGGACCUUGAGUAAUUGUGAAGUGGUUGGAAUAUGUAGUGUAGCGGUGAAAUGCAUAGAUAUUACAUAGAAUACCGAUUGCGAAGGCAGAUCACUAACAAUUCACUGACGCUGAGGGACGAAAGCGUAGGUAGCGAACAGGAUUAGAUACCCGAGUAGUCC
Molecule: ribosomal RNA, 292 nt
Filed under: uncultured bacterium
Lineage: Bacteria
Description: partial 16S ribosomal RNA
Rfam family: Bacterial small subunit ribosomal RNA
Source: RNAcentral